Molecule: small nuclear RNA, 107 nt
Filed under: Cavia aperea (Brazilian guinea pig)
Lineage: Eukaryota; Metazoa; Chordata; Mammalia; Rodentia; Caviidae
Source: RNAcentral
AUGCUCACUUUGGCAGCAUGUAUACUAAAAUUGGAAUGAUACACAGAAGAUUAACAUGACCCCUACGCAAGGAUGACAUGCAAAUUCGUGAAGCAUUCCAUAUUUUU